Molecule: non-coding RNA, 73 nt
Organism: Cordylochernes scorpioides
Lineage: Eukaryota; Metazoa; Arthropoda; Arachnida; Pseudoscorpiones; Chernetidae
Source: the annotation of a GenBank genome assembly
CCCAGGGUAGCCUAGUGGACAUGGCAUCUGCCCGGUAAGCGGAACACUGUGGGUUCGAUUCCCAUCCCUGGAU